GGAUAACAUCUAGAAAUAGGUGCUAAUACCGGAUAGUCCCGCAAGGGUAAAGAUUUUUCGGUUUGGGAGGGGCCUGCGUACUAUCAGCUAGUUGGUAAGGUAAUGGCUUACCAAGGCUAUGACGGUUAACUGGUCUGAGAGGAUGAUCAGUCGCGAUGGGACUGAGACACGGCCCAUACUCCUACGGGAGGCAGCAGUAAGGAAUCUUCCACAAUGGACGAAAGUCUGAUGGAGCAACACCGCGUGAUCGAUGAAGCCUUUAGGGGUGUAAAGAUCUUUUCUGAGAGAAGAACUCUGACGGUAUCUUAGGAAUAAGCACCGGCUAACUCCGUGCCAGCAGCCGCGGUAAUACGGAGGGUGCAAGCGUUACCCGGAAUCAUUGGGCGUAAAGCGUCCGCAGGCGGUUUGUUAAGUAAGAUGUUAAAUUUUCCAGCUCAACUGGAAAUCUAUGUCUUAAACUGGCAAACUAGAGUAUUACAGAGGUGUGCAGAAUUCUGUGUGUAGGGGUAAAAUCCGUAGAUACACAGAGGAAUACCAAAAGCGAAGGCAGCACACUGGGUAAUUACUGACGCUCAGGGACGAAAGCGUGGGGAGCGAACGGGAUUAGAUACCCCGGUAGUCCACGCCGUAAACGAUGGAUACUAGGUGUUGGGAGACUCGACCCUUCCGGUGCCGAUGCUAACGCAUUAAGUAUCCCGCCUGGGAAGUACGGUCGCAAGAUUAAAACUCAAAGGAAUAGACGGGGACCCACACAAGCGGUGGAGCAUGUGGUUUAAUUCGAUGAUAAGCGAGGAACCUUACCCAGACUUGA
This 811-nucleotide ribosomal RNA is filed under the name uncultured organism. Its description in RNAcentral is "bacterial SSU rRNA". It matches the Rfam family "Bacterial small subunit ribosomal RNA", at positions 141 to 984 of the family's 1533-position model. The record is from RNAcentral.